Poecilia reticulata (guppy) is the source of this 5349-nucleotide non-coding RNA. Lineage: Eukaryota; Metazoa; Chordata; Actinopteri; Cyprinodontiformes; Poeciliidae. The record is from RefSeq and is a predicted model, not a curated record.
CUCUCCAAAUAUUAAGCAGGUAUAGAAGAUUUAUGCAUUCUUUCAUUUUUAUGUUUGAGUCUAUUUUGAUCCAAUAAAAAAAAAGCAACACAGAAAACAGAUUACCAUUUCUAUUUUCUCCAAAAUGAAAAUGGCCACUACUUGCAAUAUCAAAAUAAGAACAAUUGUGUCAAUGCACUUGGAUCGUAGCAAAUAAGUUCAUUUCUCCAGGUAGCUCAGCUCAAUUGUGUGAAUCACUAAAAUGCUCAAUUUAUUCAUUUAUUUUGUAUUUUAAUUUAUAAUUAUUUUAAACUGCAAUUUAUUAACUGUGGUUCUGAUCCUAAUAUGUGCCAGUUGAAUAAUAUGAAAUAUUAUGACAGCAGAUUAAACCCAAAACAAAUUACCUUGAGUAGGUGUAUAUUGUUUCAAAAGAAACAAUUGUCCUGCAGGGGACUAUGAGAAAUAAAUUAUGCAAUUACUUUAAUUUUCAAACUAUCAAAAGGCUUUCAAAUCAGGUAAAAAAUGAAAAAAAAACUCCCAAGACAGGCAAACCUCAGUAUAGUCUCAAUGCACACGACAUUUUAAGAUAACUAACCAAACCGCAAAGGUAAGAAAGUCCGAAGGAGGGAAUGACCCACGAAGAGCAAAUUAUGAUGUCAUAAUUUGCUCUUUGGCUUUGGACACUUCUGAUAGGUUAACUGACACAUUUGAGCUCAUUAGAGGUACACCUGUGAAUGUAUUCUAAAGCCACACCUUGAACACAUUGCUUUCUUUUUAGCAUAAAGGGGAAGUAAAAAGAAAUCUGCCAAAAUAUCAGGAAGAGAAUUUUCUGGUUCAUCCUUGAGAACAAUUUCCAGAUGCUUGAAGGAGCCGCUUUCAUCUGUUCAAACAAUUAUACGCAAGCAUAGACAUGAUGGGAAUGUCUAACCAUCAAACCCCUGAGGAAGGAGAUGGGUUUUUUUGUCCCAGAAAUGAAAGUGUUUUGGUCUGAAAUGUACAAAACAGCCUCAGAACAAAAGCCAAAGACCUUAUGACAAUGCUGGAUGAAGCUGGCAAGACAGCGUCAUCAUUCACAGUGAUGCAUGUCCUGUACCAACAUAGAUCAAAAGCCACCCAGUGCCCAAAUAUAAGAGUUUUACUUUUACUCAACUGCAGCGCUACUGUAGACCAAGCUUAAAGGUAACUCUUCAAGCUCAAGGAGAAAAAUACAGGACUUGUAUCUAGUUUACGAUGAAGACUUCUGUACUUUAAUGAGAACACCUGUCAACUUCUAUUGCACAUUAGACUCUAUCACUUCUACAUCACAUAGAAAAAUCAGAACUUGCGUGCCCCUUUCAAAAGAGAUCACUUAUUUCUCUCACAUUCUUUAAUUAUAUUUCAACUCCCAGAACGAAAUCCCCAUCAGUACAUUUCAAAGAAGCUGAUCAGCGGAAAGUAACAUGAAGGUUUACCCAGGUGACUCUGCGACAGUGAAGAUAGACAUCUUUGAGUCAGCAAGCUAUAUUUCAGAAGAAAUGCUGCACAGGGAGGCUGUUGUAGAGGUCUGACAGAGGAGAAACCUCAGCAGGAACACUUUAUUUGGUUAUUUUAUGUGGUCUAUACUACACCAAGAAAUAGGUUGCACUUGUUAAUGUUCAAACACUAAGCUAAUGUCCGCCUCUCACAAUCUGCCUUGUGUGUGGGUAGGUGAGACAUUGAGGCAAAAGAAAUGAAAUGCUAUUAUACUUUCACUCAUACAAUAUUUUCUUUAUUGGGAAAAGGUCUAACCAAGUCAUCUCCACAUAUCCAGUUGUGUUAAUCACAGUUCAUAAUCAAAUUUAAUCCCAAGCAAUGCCUCACAGCAAGAUAUUCUUUAAACUCUUUCCCACACCGACAUCGACAAGCUGCAAAUGGCUCUCUCCCACACAGCAGCCCCACUGUGUCUACAACAGUUAAAUUAUAAUGUUCCGGGGUUGUCAACAGGCAUGCUGGAGUUAUUUACAGCCAGAAAGAGGCUAUUUGCUGAAAAGGGUUUCACAUUUCUAUCCACUACAAUUUAUAGGCAAACUGAAUUUCAAAAAAGCAAUUCUAUUCAUGACAAACAUCAGAAAUUAUUUUGAACAUAUAUGACAGUCUUGCAGGUAAGCAUUUCAAAAUUUGGGACGAUAGUGUUUGAGAAAACACGUCAGACAUUACCGAUGUAAUCUGAUAUUGUCCAAAAAACAAAAAGUUCAAAUUGUUGGAUACGUUAACCGAUGCGCUUCUCCUCUAACCUUGCCAAUAUACAGUUAUAUUUCCAAAGUUCAAGCAGGUUCAUGGUUAGAUUUUUCUGUGGCAGAACAAAGUUUGAAUUAACAAUCACAUUUAUUAAUGUGCGUCAGUCCUGCUGCCUUUAACCCCGAGUUUUAAUUUGGUGCAUCAUUCAAAAUAUUUAAAGUUAUUUAUGCUUGAAUAUUAAUGUUUACAUCAAACGGUGCCUCAGCAAGGUUGUAACCAAGAAGUCUUUAAAUGGAGGCAGUGAUGAUUUUGGGCGUCACCAAAAUAAAAAGAUAAACCCAGGCAGGAAGCAGAGCUACAAUACAAUGUGGGUGACAAACAGACUCAACAUGAAGGACAAAGACUGACCAUAAUUCUGAUUGAAGCAAUUUAUCUUGAUAUUAUUCAAUAAAUAUAUUAUCCACAAGACUCUCAUAAUGAGUCUUGUGGAUAGUCUCAUAAUGAGACUAUAUACCAUUUAUUCCCAAAUGAAUCAUCAGGACUGUUUGAAAAGGAAUGAAUACAUGAGUUACACUUUUACAACUGAAUUACUGAAAUAAAUAGUUUUAUAAUAUGAUUUUUUGUUUUCAAUUAAUAAAAUCUGCAUCAACAGCAAUUACCCUCUCUUAGUCAAAACGUUUCCUCUGCUUUAAUUCAAGGUCUACUCUAAAGAACCUUGCAGGGCCAGGCAAGACAACCUUUUGACAAAAACAUUAAAUAAAUAUUUUUAAAACAUAAAUAUUAUAUAAUACAAAAUAAAAGUUAGACAUUAACAUGAAAUAGUGAAUAUGUUGAAAAUACAAUUUCAGUCCAAGUCCAAAAGCUACAUUAUUGAACACCAUCCAUCUCCAUAGAAAAAGGGGAAAAAAACAUGUAAUGAUAAACAAAUUGGAUCAAAGUAAACAAAGUGGUUCUGGUAAAUGAUGAAAAAACCAAGGCAGCAAAGUCAGAAGACACUUGGUUCAGUCAUGGACAAGAAUCUUACUGGCAUAACAAAUGAAAUCUCAGGCAAAAAUAUUUCAACUUUGCAAAAGUAAGCAGCAAACAUUCCCAUUAACUUAACAACUUUAAAUAUCUAAAUUCAAAAGUCCGACCAGAUCUGGUCUAAAUAUUCAAGUCGAAGCAUGGCCCUAGGUUUGCAUUCACACCCCAAAAUAAGCUGGAAAAUGAACAGAGAGAGCACUUAUGGACGCACCGCAGAGCAAGAAAAUGAUUGUAUCACUGUGCAUAGUGCUUUGGUAACAUCCAGUGGAAGCUGGCACUAAAACAACAUAAAAACCAAUACAGGCAGAACUGACAGCAGAGAUCUCCUCAUAGAAAAGUAUAAAUUAAUCUAAGAUCUAUGGCCUAAAAGAGUCUGGUGCAUUUUAAUGUCAUCAAAUGACAGCAAGAUGACUGAUUUGUUUGUAUUCACACUUUCUAUUUAACUUUUUUUGUAGAAGGAGUACUGAUAAAAAAUUAAAGACAUUUAAUUUAAAAACAGUGUUCAGUGUCAGUUUAAUCAUGUUCAGCAUGAGUUGCAUGCAAUUGAGCCUUUAUAUGAGCUAAAUGAGGCAACGGAUAGAUUUAGGACAGACGUUUAUAUUCAGUUCAAUAACCACUGGUGUUGAUUUCUUACCAUCUCUACACAGGUUGAGGUUUCUCAUGCAUUAUGUCAAAAUGCUAAGGUCAGAGAGAGGUCCAAGAAAUAAUGUCAGAUAUUUCUACAGCAGUGAAAUCUGGAAAAAUCUGAGCUAAAAACUGGGUGGACAGAUGCAUAUUAGAAAGAUGGAUUUAACAGUUCAUGGGACAGAAAAUAAAGCCCAGACAUACAAAUAUUUGUAUUUGUACAAGCCUGGAAAAAAGCCCCCCCAAAAAAUCUAAAAACGUUUCCAUAUGUAUUAAGCCAGUUUGCCUUUUCAUGAGCUAAAUUUCAGCCGAAAUAAAUUACUAAGAUAGCUACCACCCAUUAGUUAAUUAUCCAUUUACUAUAUUAAGCACGCUAAUUGACCUGUAUGAACCAAUUUAAAAUUUUUUUACAUUAUAUCUAACUGUGGAAACUGAUUGUUAAGGUGGGAAUUGAUGUAAAUCACAUUUCCAGAACUGCAGAACCUUUUCACAGAAAAACAGCUGCAGCUGAGGGCAGAUAAAUAGACCUCCUUUCUUCACACAAAAGCAAAAAAAAGUGGAAUAAAUAACACAGAUGAUUACAGCAAGGAUCCCAGGAAGCCAACAUAAAUAAAUGCACCUGUGGUUUCCCUGCUACAGCCUGUACUGAAGGAAAUGGUCGCUGUUCCGUACUGACAUUUUUAUAAAGUCUAGACCCAUUAUUUACAGUCCAUUUGAGCUUGUAUACCAAGCAAUUAUUUCUCAGAGUAUGGGUGUGAAGCAUUAAUAAUAGAAAACAUGUUUUCUGUAGCUUUUGAUAAAAUAGCUGAAAGUUGUCCCACCUCUCCCCUCUGUCAUGGAACAAGAUAACAACUGGGUAUGGCUUAAUUACAUUUUCAAUGCAUUUCACUUGUUUUUGUGGCAAGAGAAUAAAAGCAUUUUUUUAUUCACAAAAGUGCAUAAAUUGUUCUCUCCAGAUGCAAAAGUUUUUAAAAGGUUUGACCUCUUAACCAUGCUCUGUAAUCUAUUAUCUAUUUAAAUCAAUCAAUUAGUUCAGCUACUUGUAGCUUUCAAGAAAUGAAAUUUAGAAUUUCUGAAAGCUAUAAAUAAAAAGAAAAAUCUUUUUACAUUUUCUCCAUUUUUAAUGGAGGGAACUUUAAAAAUCACUCCAACAUCUUAUGCUGGUUAAAGGUCAAUUAAAUAGUUCUUCUUACUUAUAGAUGGCAACACAAUUCAAAUUGUGUGGUUCUUUUAGCUUUAAAUGCCUUUUAAAGUCUUUUAGAAGUUGCAAGUCAACACAUGUUAGUAAAUAUAACACUAGCUCAGAUUAGCUAGCACAAUUUGCUUCAGUGAAUCACGAAAGUAUUUGCAGAUGUAUUUCCUGAUGUCUGAAACUGCCAUGAAGAAUUAAAAAGAAUCAAUUCUCUUUCUAAAUUAAGGGAAAAUGGAUCAGUGCCAACAUGCAACUCCAAACAGUUAAAAUGGUGUGCUGAAAUAAUUCAUAAAUUCAGAAGUCAAGUCUGUUGGUGUGUGAUUAUACAGAAAAGG